AAGUCGCUCACAGAAUUCAGCUCAGGAGAGUGGCCUGAGAGAACCGAGGCUGGAGUAAUUCAGUGGCAAUCCCACUGAGUCUCACUGUCCCCACCAGGGUCUCCUCACCUCUCACUUGUCACCUGUCUGCUGUAGGCACGCUCUACAGUCAAGACUUCAUUCAAGAGGCCUGCGUAGAGGACACCCCAGCCACACCAGGUUCUCACUCCAGAUAUUACUCACCAGCGAAUGUCCACAAGCCUGAUGUGAUCUCACUGUGUCUUUCCCUGAGAACAAAUGUGGGAACACAGCCUUCUCAAUACCAUAGCUCACUAAUCCACCAGAAACAUGCAGAAUGGCAGAUGGACUUUCCAAAGAGAGAAAUGAGCUGUGUUCAAUGAUUACUUAUAAACAGUUGUGAAGAUAA
Molecule: long non-coding RNA, 406 nt
Organism: Peromyscus leucopus (white-footed mouse)
Lineage: Eukaryota; Metazoa; Chordata; Mammalia; Rodentia; Cricetidae
Exons: 2
Source: RefSeq, a predicted model, not a curated record